AUGGGCUCUGGCGAAGCCGCUUCUGCUUCCAGCUGCGUCCUUUCAUCUGCCAGUACUGAGCACCCAGCGCUGCCAAGGCAGCCCAGUUCCUUUCCCAGUAAAGCAGAGAAGCCCUGAGCCGUGUCUGUGUGCACCAGGGGCCUGGGGACGGGGCUGGGGGCUCCAGGGGCAGCACAGUGAGCAGAGGGGGCAGCGAUGUUUAUUAUCCCCACCCCACUGGCACAGCGCCCCCAGGCAGGUACAAAAAAGGUGUUUGGGCGUGGGGCUCAGUGCGGGGUCUCGGCGUGGAUCUCAGUGCUGGGGGGCCCUGCCAGGGGGGUGCCAGCCAUGCCCAGCUCCUUGGCUCGCCGCUGGCACUCGCGGGCCACCACCACGGGGCUGACAAAAGCCACCAGCACCACGGUGAUGAGCCCCAGGUUCAUCUGCAGAGGGGAAGAGUGUCAGGGAAGGGGUCUGGGGGGCCGUCCCCCAUCCCCUGUGUUAGGCCAGGACCCUUGUGGCAGCACCUCCAUUUCUCCAGAAGCAGGACGCCCUGGAGGUGCAGGACCCCCAUUUCUCAUGGCAUAAGACCCAGUCAUUCCUGGGGGAAGGACUCCAUCCCUCCCGGGGCAGCAUCCCCAUUUCCCCAUGUGGCAGGACCCCAUUUUCAUAUGGGCAGGACUAGAAUCCCCAUUGUCCCAAGGGGUGAGACCCCCAUUUCCCCAUGUGGCAAGACCCCUUCCCUCCCAGAGCAGCCCCCCAGCCCUCUCUCGGGGGGCACACUCACAUAGAAGGGGUCCCCCUGGAGCGGCCCCUGCACCAGGGCAACACAGGGGUACUGCAGCAGGGCCACCAGCGCCGACAGUGCCAUGGCCAGCCCAUAGAGCUUCCCGAAGUGCUGCGGGGGAAACCUGCCAGGCACCCAUGUCACCAAUGGGCACCUCCUGGCACCCCUACCCUGGCACCCUCCUGAGCCCUGACACCUCCACUGUGUCACCUGCCCCCCUCCAGUCCCACCGCCAUCCCCUGCCACCCUCCAGAGCCACCGCCAUCCCCUCCCACCCCUUGCUGACCUUGCCGCCCUGGCUNCUCAUCCUCGGGCAGGGGGGUGAAGGUGCCGCUCUUUCCUGGCCUCAGUGCCUCUGCCAUCAAAGCCAAACUGAGGGGUCGCAACCGCUCGGCCGAGGAGGGGACAUCAUCAGAGGACAGCAAGGGGACCCCUCCUAA
Molecule: long non-coding RNA, 1206 nt
Filed under: Zonotrichia albicollis (white-throated sparrow)
Lineage: Eukaryota; Metazoa; Chordata; Aves; Passeriformes; Passerellidae
Description: lncRNA (ENSZALG00000004591.1)
Source: RNAcentral